AGAAAAGAAAGAAAGAAAGAAAAGAAAGAAAGAAAGAGAAAAAGAAAGAAAGAAAGUUUGGUUUGGAUAAAGCAUUAAGACACAAAAUCUCUGGAAGGGAACUCUAUUUUUGGUGGUUGUAGGAAUAGGAAGUGAUGAAACAUACCCUUAACUAGUUUAAAGGAAAGUCUAGUCAGUGCUUAAAUAAAAUACCUUGCCAACAUUGUAACUUAAUAUUCUACCAGUUGAAAAGUCAUAGUAAUUGAGUCCAAUAAUAAAUAAUAAUAAUGUUCAUCUGCAAAAGAAUGUUAUCUGAAAUAUACACUAAUAAUAAUGUUCUUAAAACAUGUUUACAUAUUUUUUCAUUGACAUAAUUUUCAUGAUAUUCCACCUUCUGAUCCUGAUGGCAAGUCAAGUCUACUACUUUGAUUAGUUUGUCAUCAUAAUAUGACUAGGGUAAUUUCAUAUUGUGUCCAUUUAAAAAUAGGCACUUAUACUGAGUAGAAAUAAUCAUUUUAAAUCUCAGCUCAGGCCUGGAAUCAGACUGAUGUUGACUUCUUUUCCUCCCUUUGUACACUUACUUUGUAAUAUUGGGUAAAUCUGUUAACCAGAUGGAACCUCAGUUUCAUCAUCUAUAAAGGAGGAUAUUAACACCUACUUUGUUGGAUUCUGAGGAAGAUUAAGUAAUACAAUGAGUUUGGAUAAGUCAUGCAAGUAUAUAGCUCAUGCUUUGCAUUCACUAAAGGGAAGAAUGGGGAGAGGAGAAGCAGAAAGAUAAAAAGAAGAAGAGAAGAAAGAAGGAAUCUGUCUUCCUCACCCCAGGAAGCAGGUGAGUCCCCAGAGAGGAGGCUCCACUGGUAGAAGCACUUGCCAGGCUGAGAAGGGGCUCUGCCACAGCUAGAUGGGGGCUUUCAGUGGCAAGAUGUCUGGUAAGGAUGGAAGAGGAAAGAAGACUGACACUUUCAGAAGCUGGCUCCAUGACUGAGUGGUUUGGACUUAAGAGUAGGUGGAACUACUGCUGCCCCAGAACCCUCUGUAGCAAGUUUCAUAGCCUUGUGACUUCAAAUGUAGGCAGAAGUAUUUCUAGGUAUUAUGGUAGGGACAGGGCAAGACUUCUGAUGUCAAAGGAAAUAGUAGCUGGAGGAAUAAGCCAAUUAGAGAUGGGGAAACUGAGGGGGGGUUGGCUCUCUAUAGACCUACACAGCAAAGGAAACGGAAGGGGAAAGAGGGUGGAGAAGGUGGGCAUUUAUAUAUUAGGCUUGAUGGUAGGGUGGCUGUAAAUUUCACCUAUGUACAGCUCCAUACAGCCUCAUCUGCUGCAGACGUGUGUAUGUCUGUGAGUAAAUUUAUAAUUUACAUAAUAGUAAUCUGUAUCUGUUUUGGCUUUGCUAACUGUCUUAACAUUUUGAUAAAGUGGUUGCGGCUGUUGACAUUACAGUUCGGCUCUUCCUCCCCUCAAUUAAAAGCAGGAUGGUGGGGUUUAAAUAUACUACAGGGAGUUUUAAUAAGGUACCACCAAAAUUAUCAUGAGAUCUCAUUAGGUUUACUAAAAAACUUUAAAUAUCUGAGAUAAUGCUUCUCAUAGGCUAGAUUCUAGAAUAAUGCUCAAGGAAAUUUGGGAGUUUACCAGAUAGUGCAUCAGCAAUGAAAUCGCCACACUUAAUUACUGGACAAUGAUUAAUAUUUUCUUUACAGGUGUAAUUGCAUGACGUGAAAGUUGAUGGUGUGUUUUUCAGAGAGGCAAAAAGAUAAUAAAUGCUGCAGAAAAGCUGACAGCAAGACUGAGCCUAUCCAAAAUGAUGCAGAGAAAACAUGCUAAUUAGCAACUCACUAACAAUAUCUCACCGAAGUGCUCUCUGAAACAAAGCUGCACUUUUUUUCAUAGAGCAUCUGAAGCCCUAUGGGUACAGACUAUGAAAAUGAGGUUAAGGAAGUUGGCAAUGGGCACACAAUGAUUAUGAUGUCACAUCCAUAAAUAUUAAAUGAUAAUAAAACACUAAAGCGGCAGGGUGAUAUACACGGAGCCAGGACGGGGAUUUGAUUUCUCAAGAGUCAAAUGAGAGCCAGUUGGAAAAAAUGCCCAGCCCUGGAGAAAAAGACAAUCAUGAAAAGGGUAUACUGUUAUUAUACUGAAAGAAGCUUUCCAAGUCACUCCAUACAUUCACUGCAGAAGAAUCAGGUCACUUCAGGAAGGAGGCCUAUGAUGAACCUUAGAGAACUUAACUAGGAAAUGGAUUUAAUAACUGUUGACUGUAACCCUGGUGGAUGCUUCAAGCUCCCUCUGUAAUGAACCUAGCACACAUCAGGUAGAACAUCCUGUCCCAAGAAGCCAGCAAUCUAUUACUUCACAUACAGCAAACGUUUCAUGAAAACCUGCUUUUGUUUUCACCAUGGCACCUUUGCCAAUUUCCUCUAAUUGACCGGGAUUAUAACGUUGAUCCUAGAAGAAGAAUCUAAGCAGUCAGAAGGCCUACGUUUCUCUUCAAAGAUCAUCCUCAAUUCACAGACAGAAACAGGGUCCAAGCCAGGUCAUGUAACAAGUUUAUGGAACAUCUAGUUAUCCAUGAGACUCAUGGCUGUUACACGUUGGAUAUUUUAUCACAUUUCCCUGGCUUGAAACUGACAAUUUUAGGACAUUUUUUUCCUUCUUUUUUCCUCCCUUUUCUUCCACUCUCAUAACUCCAUUUUGACAUUUGCUUUGUUGCCCUUGUGUGAAUCAAAUCUGAUACAGAUUUAUCCACAGAAAGGCUAUAGCUGAAUAAAAUUUCUGAUUCUGUUUUGUCAAAUAUCAUUACUCAGUGACAGCUAUCAUGGUAUUCUGCUUUUUGUAUGGUUUUUCUUUCUAGAAAAUCAUACACAUGGGCACAAAUGCAUAGACACAGGUGUGCAGACAUGGGCAAAGACAAGGCCCCAUGCAUGUGAACACACACACACACACACACACACACACACAUACACAUAUUUAGGGCUUCAUAAAGUCCAUGAACGUGGAAAAAAUACUGACAGUUUUUGCACUUUGAUUUGCCACUAAUUUAAAUAUUUGCUUUAGUAUUCUUUGGUCCUAGGGAUUGUAAUAAUAAUAUAUCAUCUCCAUAGAAUUUUCUAGAAUCAUGAUUUGGCAAUUUUGCCUAUAGCUGAAGAAAUUAUGUUUUCUUUUCUCAAGUCCAGUAGUAAUCUUCAGUUUUUUUCAAGCACCUGUGAUUCUCAGUCUUAGUAUCCUGGAGACUUCUAGAUUGCUGUGUGUUAGGGAGGACCCAGUACCCUAUCUUAAAACAAGCUAUUGUUCUUGUUUAUAUAUUAGUAUUAAAUUUUUUUGGAUUUUUGGCUUUGAAAUUGCUUAAAUAUUCAUAAGAUGCAAAUGACCAACAUUAUGUUCUUUCCUUAGAGCAGGUAUUCAUGGGCAACAAUUUAGGAAAUGAUACAGAAAGAAAGGAAGGCUGGAAAGACCAAAGAAAAACAGCUACAGUUUUGCCAAGAACCAGCCCCACGCUUCAUGAGAAUUGUGAUACAUUUACAUUUGGCUUUUAAUUUCUGUAUCAAUUUGGACUGUGUUUUUGUGAAAAUGAGAUAAUAUAUGUGAAAGUACCUAGCUGAAUUCUUGGGAUAUGGCAAAAACCCAAUAAAUAUAAGUUUUUACUACUGUGUUAAGCAUCUUCUUGUCGUAAGCAGAAUUUACCCAGUUGAUAAGGAAAAGAUAAAGCUUAGUUGAGCCAAUUAGCAUAAAACAUUUCAAGCUGAGAACACACACUUAAUGUUACCAUAAAAAUUUGAAACCGGAG
Molecule: long non-coding RNA, 3758 nt
Filed under: Homo sapiens (human)
Lineage: Eukaryota; Metazoa; Chordata; Mammalia; Primates; Hominidae
Description: long non-coding RNA NONHSAT200517.1
Source: RNAcentral